Molecule: ribosomal RNA, 30 nt
Filed under: Emericellopsis stolkiae
Lineage: Eukaryota; Fungi; Ascomycota; Sordariomycetes; Hypocreales; Bionectriaceae
Description: partial 28S ribosomal RNA
Source: RNAcentral
AUACCCGCUGAACUUAAGNAUAUCAAUAAG